CAGAAACCAUAGAUUGUAUACCACCGCCAUCCACACCAUUCUCUUGAUUUGUGCCAACGAUAGCAACCACUACUCAUAUGUACUUCUGUGUUUCCUGUUCUAAGGUGGCAUUGUUCUUCCCGUCAUCGGCCUCAGGCCUUUUAAGCAGCAGCUAUUUCAGGUCAAAGCAAAGGAAGUGCAUCAAUAGCAGACCCCAUAGUAAAAUGACAUAAUCUUCAAAGAAGUUAUUGAUGGAGGCCGGAGAAUGAGGCGACAACAAAUGGCGAUUGACACACAUAGACCCACCAAAAUUUCAAUUAAAGAAACUUAGGGUGUCUUGCUUUCUUCCCCAAUUUAAUGCACCUUCUAUUUUAGUUUCUAUGCUUUCAUCUGGAUCUUUGGAGGAAAAAAAAACAAUUGGAUGUGAUGAGAUUUAUGCAGAGGAUGAGUUGCUAGGAGUACUGCCACCUUCCUUCAAUUGUCUGACUCACUCAUCCAACCCGACUUGACAAAGCCAAACGUAUGGUUACAAAGAUAAGCAUGUAACCUAUUACUUUGUAAUGAAUCUAGGUAUCCUGGUAACAACUUUAUUGCUUUCUUGAACUCUGCUUUGAUAAGUUUGAUUCUAGGUUGCUUUUCGUAGGAAACAUGGAAACAAACAUACAUCAUUCGUGCAUUUUCUCUUCAAGUUGUAUGUUAGUUCUUUAUAGCUUCAAUUAUUUUACUAAAACCCGCCGCAAAAAUAGCUAGAUUAGUUUUUCAUGAGCUAAUACAUAUCAUUUCUUUCACUGCCAACAACUCGGCAUGGUCAGAUCAAAAUGAUGGUGGCAACAAGUUCACUCAUAACAGUAAAUUGUUUACUGUUAUGCAUGUAAUGCUAUAAGUUCUCUUCAAAGUUAAUAAUUUAUAUUAGUGUAAUCUUUUUACCAGUCGAUUUGGAUUUUGUUUAAUGGUUUUAAUUUCUUCAUCCAAGAUGGCUAAUGUAAGUUUUUCUAUUUUCAUCUUCGUUUUUUCAGUUGGAUUUGACAGUUGGUUUGUAUUGCGUUUGACAUCUUACUCUACUUCACAUGCAUGUUAAUCGGUUCAUUGGUUGAAGGAUUUAGGGAAGAAAUAAAUAAAUUUAUUUUGUGAGGUUUAUGGCUAUGUUAUAAAAUAAAUUUAGAUUGUUUUGAUUGAAAUUACAAAGGAUGGUUUAUAAAAUAUAGAUGCUUAAGUAUGUUUUGGUAGGGUUUUCCUUUGCUUUAACUGUAAAUUUGAUAAGAUUGUAAAUCUUACAACACUCUUGGCAACCGAUGGUGUUUUUGGAGUCUAAGUAAGGAAAUUUGAUAUUAGCGAUAAAUACAUGUUUUUCUUUUGAAAGUUUUAAUUUUAAUCUUAUUUUUUUUUUUGUUUUUAAAGAUAUGCAAGGGAAAAGAUGUUAAACCCCGGGUGUACAAAUCUAUUGAACCGUUACAAGGUAAGACCAUUAAGUCAAAAUGAAAACAACACUUGACACUUUACACCAUUGGAUAAGAAGAUUGAUAUACUAAGAUGACAAAUUAUGUGUUUUUUUGCAUUUACAGAUCACAUAGUGGCCUUACGUAAAUCCUGGAUAUAUGUUGGAGCGAUGGAGCAACUGCCCUUUCAGGUAUAAGUAUCAUGUUAUAAAUUUGCAUGGUUUUAAGUUGAGAGAAAAUGAAUAUUUUACAUGUUGAUAAUUAACGUUAAUUCUUAUUAACUUUGAAAAGUGUUUUUAAUAUUAAUAUUUUAGAAACAAAUGCUUUAUUUAGAGAAAUAAUAUGAAAAUUGAAAUGAAA
Lactuca sativa (garden lettuce) is the source of this 1775-nucleotide non-coding RNA. Lineage: Eukaryota; Viridiplantae; Streptophyta; Magnoliopsida; Asterales; Asteraceae. The record is from RefSeq and is a predicted model, not a curated record.